AGCUUUGCGCAGUGGCAGUAUCGUAGCCAAUGAGGUUGAUCCGAGGCGCGAUUAUUGCUAAUUGAAAACUUUUCCUAAUUACCAACUUCUCAAGAUGAAGAAACUGAAACAUAGAGAACUUGAGUCACUCAUCCACUACCAGCUUUUGAAACCAAGUAUGCUCG
RNAcentral lists this small nuclear RNA (164 nucleotides) under Suricata suricatta (meerkat). RNAcentral describes it as "U4 spliceosomal RNA (ENSSSUG00005003037.1)". The stretch from base 1 to 120 matches the Rfam family "U4 spliceosomal RNA". From Rfam's summary of the family: U4 small nuclear RNA (U4 snRNA) is a component of the major U2-dependent spliceosome. The record is from Rfam by way of RNAcentral. Lineage: Eukaryota; Metazoa; Chordata; Mammalia; Carnivora; Herpestidae.